RNAcentral lists this ribosomal RNA (458 nucleotides) under uncultured marine microorganism. RNAcentral's name for it is "bacterial SSU rRNA". It matches the Rfam family "Bacterial small subunit ribosomal RNA", at positions 356 to 829 of the family's 1533-position model. The record is from RNAcentral.
GGGGAAUUUUCCGCAAUGGGCGAAAGCCUGACGGAGCAAUACCGCGUGAGGGAGGAAUGCCUUUGGGUUGUAAACCUCUUUUCUCAGGGAAGAAGAUCUGACGGUACCUGAGGAAUAAGUAUCGGCUAACUCCGUGCCAGCAGCCGCGGUAAUACGGAGGAUGCAAGCGUUAUCCGGAAUCGUUGGGCGUAAAGCGUCCGCAGGUGGUUUCCAAAGUCUGCUGUUAAAGACUGGAGCUCAACUCCGGAACGGCGGUGGAAACUUGGAAACUAGAGUUCGGUAGGGGUAGCAGGAAUUCCCAGUGUAGCGGUGAAAUGCGUAGAUAUUGGGAAGAACAUCGGUGGCGAAGGCGUGCUACUGGACCGUAACUGACACUCAGGGACGAAAGCUAGGGGAGCGAAAGGGAUUAGAUACCCCUGUAGUCCUAGCUGUAAACGAUGGAAACUAGGUGUGGCUUG